RNAcentral lists this ribosomal RNA (253 nucleotides) under uncultured bacterium. RNAcentral describes it as "partial 16S ribosomal RNA". It matches the Rfam family "Bacterial small subunit ribosomal RNA", at positions 524 to 776 of the family's 1533-position model. The record is from RNAcentral.
UACGAGGGGUGCAAGCGUUAUUCGGAAUUAUUGGGCGUAAAGGGUGUGUAGACGGUUUGUUAAGUCGAUUGCUAAAUUCUCUGGCCUAACUGGAGGCGUGCAUUCGAUACUGAUUUACUAGAGUAUGAAAGAGAGAAGCGGAAUUCUCGGAGUAGCGGUCAAAUGCGUAGAUCUCGAGAGGAACAUCAAUGGCGAAGGCAGCUUCUUGGUUCAUUACUGACGUUGAAACACGAAAGCGUGGGGAGCAAACAGG